RNAcentral lists this ribosomal RNA (497 nucleotides) under uncultured bacterium. RNAcentral's name for it is "partial 16S ribosomal RNA". It matches the Rfam family "Bacterial small subunit ribosomal RNA", at positions 28 to 507 of the family's 1533-position model. The record is from RNAcentral.
GGUGAACGCUGGCGGCGUGCCUAAUACAUGCAAGUCGAGCGAAGAGGUGAGGUACUUGCUCCGCGGACGUUAGGGGCGGAAGGGUGAGGAACACGUGGAGAACCUACCUAAAAGACUGGGAUAACUUAGGGAAACCGGAGCUAAUACCGGAUAAUAUAUUGAACCGCAUGGUUCAAUAGUGAAAGACGGUUUUGCUGUCACUUCUAGAUGGAUCUGCGCCGCAAUAGCUAGUUGGUAAGGUAACGGCUUACCAAGGCAACGAUGCGUAGCCGGCCUGAGAGGGUGACCGGCCACACGGGAGGUGAGACACGGUCCAGACUCCUAGGGGAGGUCGCAGUAGGGAAACUUCCGCAAUGGGCGAAGGCUUGACGGAGAAACGGCGCGUGAGUGAUGAAGGUGAGCGGAACGUAAAACUGUGUGAAUAGGGAUGAACAAAUGUGUAAGUCACUAUGCACGGCUUUACGGGACCUAAUCUGAUAGCGACGGCUAACUACGUG